Molecule: long non-coding RNA, 210 nt
Filed under: Daucus carota (carrot)
Lineage: Eukaryota; Viridiplantae; Streptophyta; Magnoliopsida; Apiales; Apiaceae
Description: long non-coding RNA (DCAR_LNC003814)
Source: RNAcentral
UUUUGCCGAAAAAGUUAAACUUGCAUUCAAACUUUCAAAUCGUUCAAGAGUACAUGAAUAAAUUCAGAGGGGACAUUUUCCCCAUUCCAACUACGAUCAGCUAUUGAACUACUAUGUCUCGCUAUGAAGUGAGCCACGUUGUUCGCGGAUCGUUUAACAAAUUUUAGAAUCACCUUACGGUUAUCUAAUUCAGAGAGAAGAUUCUUGCAC